RNAcentral lists this transfer RNA (85 nucleotides) under Bacteroides finegoldii. RNAcentral describes it as "tRNA-OTHER". It matches the Rfam family "tRNA". Rfam says of the family: Transfer RNA (tRNA) molecules are approximately 80 nucleotides in length. Lineage: Bacteria; Pseudomonadati; Bacteroidota; Bacteroidia; Bacteroidales; Bacteroidaceae. The record is from RNAcentral.
GGAUGGUUAGCUUAUCGGUUAGAGCUUUGUAUUGCGCAAUCAAUUAUCACGAUUGAGAGAGGUUCGAUUCCUCUACCAUCCACCA